GUGGGGAAUAUUGCACAAUGGGCGAAAGCCUGAUGCAGCAACGCCGCGUGAAGGAAGAAGGCCCUUGGGUCGUAAACUUCUGUUCUAAGGGAAGAUAAUGACGGUACCUUAGGAGCAAGUCCCGGCUAACUACGUGCCAGCAGCCGCGGUAAUACGUAGGGGGCGAGCGUUAUCCGGAAUUAUUGGGCGUAAAGAGUACGUAGGUGGUUAUCUAAGCGAGGGGUUUAAGGCAAUAGCUCAACUAUUGUUUGCCCCGCGAACUGGGUGACUUGAGUGCUGGAGAGGAAAGCGGAAUUCCUAGUGUAGCGGUGAAAUGCGUAGAUAUUAGGAGGAACAUCAGUGGCGAAGGCGGCUUUCUGGACAGUAACUGACACUGAGGUACGAAAGUGUGGGGAGCAAACAGGAUUAGAAACCCUAGUAGUCC
Molecule: ribosomal RNA, 424 nt
Filed under: uncultured bacterium
Lineage: Bacteria
Description: partial 16S ribosomal RNA
Rfam family: Bacterial small subunit ribosomal RNA
Source: RNAcentral